AGAGAUGCACUGGGUGUAAAGAGUGCGCAGGCGGUUUUGUAAGACAGAGGUGAAAUCCCCGGGCUCAACCUGGGAACUGCCUUUGUGACUGCAAGGCUGGAGUGCGGCAGAGGGGGAUGGAAUUCCGCGUGUAGCAGUGAAAUGCGUAGAUAUGCGGAGGAACACCGAUGGCGAAGGCAAUCCCCUGGGCCUGCACUGACGCUCAUGCACGAAAGCGUGGGGAGCAAACA
Molecule: ribosomal RNA, 230 nt
Filed under: uncultured Alicycliphilus sp.
Lineage: Bacteria; Pseudomonadati; Pseudomonadota; Betaproteobacteria; Burkholderiales; Comamonadaceae
Description: partial 16S ribosomal RNA
Rfam family: Bacterial small subunit ribosomal RNA
Source: RNAcentral